UACGUAGGGUGCAAGCGUUGUCCGGAAUUAUUGGGCGUAAAGAGCUCGUAGGCGGUUUGUCGCGUCUGCUGUGAAAACUGGAGGCUCAACCUCCAGCCUGCAGUGGGUACGGGCAGACUCGAGUGCGGUAGGGGAGAUUGGAAUUCCUGGUGUAGCGGUGGAAUGCGCAGAUAUCAGGAGGAACACCGAUGGCGAAGGCAGAUCUCUGGGCCGUAACUGACGCUGAGGAGCGAAAGCAUGGGGAGCGAACAGG
This 253-nucleotide ribosomal RNA is filed under the name uncultured bacterium. RNAcentral describes it as "partial 16S ribosomal RNA". It matches the Rfam family "Bacterial small subunit ribosomal RNA", at positions 524 to 776 of the family's 1533-position model. The record is from RNAcentral.